AUUGAACGCUGGCGGCAUGCCUUACACAUGCAAGUCGAACGGCAGCACGGGUGCUUGCACCUGGUGGCGAGUGGCGAACGGGUGAGUAAUACAUCGGAACAUGUCCUGUAGUGGGGGAUAGCCCGGCGAAAGCCGGAUUAAUACCGCAUACGAUCCACGGAUGAAAGCGGGGGACCUUCGGCCCUCGCGCUAUAGGGUUGGCCGAUGGCUGAUUAGCUAGUUGGUGGGGUAAAGGCCUACCAAGGCGACGAUCAGUAGCUGGUCUGAGAGGACGACCAGCCACACUGGGACUGAGACACGGCCCAGACUCCUACGGGAGGCAGCAGUGGGGAAUUUUGGACAAUGGGCGAAAGCCUGAUCCAGCAAUGCCGCGUGUGUGAAGAAGGCCUUCGGGUUGUAAAGCACUUUUGUCCGGAAAGAAAACCUUGGCUCUAAUACAGUCGGGGGAUGACGGUACCGGAAGAAUAAGCACCGGCUAACUACGUG
RNAcentral lists this ribosomal RNA (486 nucleotides) under uncultured bacterium. RNAcentral's name for it is "partial 16S ribosomal RNA". It matches the Rfam family "Bacterial small subunit ribosomal RNA", at positions 30 to 507 of the family's 1533-position model. The record is from RNAcentral.